UACGGGGGGGGGUAAGCGUUGUUCGGAAUUACUGGGCGUAAAGGGCUCGUAGGCGGCCAACUAAGUCAUACGUGAAAUCCCUCAGCUUAACUGGGGAACUGCGUGUGAUACUGGAUGGCUUGGAUUUGGGAGAGGAUGCGGAAUUCCAGGUGGUAGCGGUGAAAUGCGUAGAUAUCUGGAGGAACACCGGGUGGCGAAGCGGCAUCCUGGACCAAUAUUGACGCUGAGGAGCGAAAGCUAGGGGAGCAAACGGG
This 254-nucleotide ribosomal RNA is filed under the name uncultured bacterium. Its description in RNAcentral is "partial 16S ribosomal RNA". It matches the Rfam family "Bacterial small subunit ribosomal RNA", at positions 524 to 776 of the family's 1533-position model. The record is from RNAcentral.